This 1669-nucleotide long non-coding RNA is filed under the name Salmo salar (Atlantic salmon). Its description in RNAcentral is "lncRNA (ENSSSAG00000082906.1)". Lineage: Eukaryota; Metazoa; Chordata; Actinopteri; Salmoniformes; Salmonidae. The record is from RNAcentral.
CGAAACUUCCCGAUUCUACCAGUGGAACGAAAAACGUCUGCAUUUGAGGUCUGCAUACAUCACUGAUGAGGUCACUUCCUUGCUCUCCUCUCCACUCAGUAAAGAUGAGAUAUCAGUUUGGUUUUCAACAAUCAUUGAGAGUCAACAUGUACAAACCUCUUAUCAUUAUCACAGUCCCCCUCUUCUGGAUCACAGGUGUCUCUCUCAGUAAAGUAGUGUACCAGUCUCCCUCUACACUGCUGGUAGAGCCUAAUGCGUCUGUCUCUGUCCCACUCAGCUGCAGUCAUAAAAUCCCUAGCUAUAACACUAUCCUCUGGUACCAGCGUCCUGUGGGAGACACAGCUCUGAAACUCAUAGCAUAUGUAUACAUUACAAGUCAGACUGUUGAACCGUCAUAUAAAGGUUACUUUGACGUGAAAGGUGAUGGAAGGAACGAAGCCUUCCAUCUUCCUCCUUCUCUUCUUCCUCUCCUCUUCCCCCUCUUCCUCUCAUCUUCCUCCUCCUCUUCUUCCUCUCUUCCUCAUCCUCGCCUUCUUCCUCCCCUUCCUCCCCUCUUCCUCUUCAUGUCCUCUUCCUCUCCACUUCUUCCCCCUCUUCCUCUCCUCUUACCCCUCUUCCUCUCAUCCUCCUCUCCUCUUCCUCUCCUCUUCCUCUCCUCCCAGGGUUGUGUCUAGGUGCCAGGGUUCUCCAGACUCCUUGGUAAUGACCCCCAGGGGACUCCGCUGAUCGCUUCUGUUCCCACACUAAAAAAUACUAUGAUGUUAUUCUCUGGUACAGACAGUCUUACUCUCAGGACAUACAGCUACAACUGUUGGGGUACCUUUACACAGAAAACAAAACCCAGAAUCUAGUUUCAAGGACAAAAGGAAAAUGAGAGGAAACAUUAUUGUGAUUUAAUAUUUUCCAACCUGACACAAGAGGAUAGUUCAGUAUAUUUCUGUGCUGUCAGACAGGACAGUUGAGCAGAUCUCAAAGAUAGUCAGUUACACUACGGAGUCCAUAAGGAGAGGCUGAGAAAGUAGAGAUGUGCUGAUGGCUGUGGACCUGUCUCUAACUCUGAAUGACCACAACCUCCCUGGAUGUGACUAAAGUACUCCCUCCACCGCUCAGUCCUCCCUGGAUGUGACUAAAAUGCUCAGUCCUCCCUCCACCACUCAGUCCUCCCUGGAUGUGACUAAGAUACUCCCUCUACCACUCAGUCCUCCCUGGAUGUGACUAAGAUUCUCCCUCCACCUCUCAGUCCUCCCUGGAUGUGACUAAGAUACUCCCUCCACCGCUCAGUCCUCCCUGGAUGUGACUAAGAUACUCCCUCCACCGCUCAGUGCUCCCUGGAUGUGGCUAAGAUGCUCAGUCCUCCCUCCACCGCUCAGUCCUCCCUGGAUGUGACUAAAAUUCUCCCUCCACCGCUUCAUCUAGAAGUGUCGGGACAAGUUGUAUUCUUUCAAGACAGCGAUGCUCUCUUUGCACACCAAGCACACAGCUUUCCCUGAUACCUCAAUAAAUAAAUAUUUCAAUGUCCACUCUUGCUGGAACACCCUACAUUAAUUUUUCUACUUUCCUUUUCUUUUAAAUCUUUGAAAAAACAUAUUUUUUGCACAAUUUUUCUAGCUAGCUACUAUUUGUAACUGUGACGUGUGUGUCAGCCUGUCAGUUGUUAUUUAUACGGGCC